Molecule: non-coding RNA, 30 nt
Filed under: Mus musculus (house mouse)
Lineage: Eukaryota; Metazoa; Chordata; Mammalia; Rodentia; Muridae
Source: RNAcentral
UUAGAAUAAAUUUGUUGACGGCCAAGGCUU